CUCCAGACUCCUACGGGAGGCAGCAGUGAGGAAUAUUGGUCAAUGGGCGAGAGCCUGAACCAGCCAAGUCGCGUGAGGGAAGACGGUCCUAUGGAUUGUAAACCUCUUUUGUCGGGGAGCAAAAAGGCCUCGUGAGGCCACAAGUGAGAGUACCCGAAGAAAAAGCAUCGGCUAACUACGUGCCAGCAGCCGCGGUAAUACGUAGGUGGCGAGCGUUGUCCGGAUUUACUGGGCGUAAAGGGAGCGUAGGCGGAUUUUUAAGUGAGAUGUGAAAUACUCGGGCUCAACUUGAGUGCUGCAUUUCAAACUGGAAGUCUAGAGUGCAGGAGAGGAGAAUGGAAUUCCUAGUGUAGCGGUGAAAUGCGUAGAGAUUAGGAAGAACACCAGUGGCGAAGGCGGCUUGCUGGACGAUGACUGACGUUGAGGCUCGAAAGCGUGGGGAGCAAACAGGAUUAGAUACCCCAGUA
This 467-nucleotide ribosomal RNA is filed under the name uncultured bacterium. Its description in RNAcentral is "bacterial SSU rRNA". It matches the Rfam family "Bacterial small subunit ribosomal RNA", at positions 329 to 792 of the family's 1533-position model. The record is from RNAcentral.